AUUUGAUGAUGUGGGCAUUGUAUUUGAAGAUCAUUAAAUCUAUCCCAAGCUUCGUAAAAUUUUUCAUUAGGUUUUGGUCUAAAUGUUUGAAUUCAAUUUCGCAUAUC
RNAcentral lists this small nucleolar RNA (107 nucleotides) under Thalictrum thalictroides. RNAcentral's name for it is "Plant small nucleolar RNA R71". It matches the Rfam family "Plant small nucleolar RNA R71". From Rfam's summary of the family: R71 is a member of the C/D box family of snoRNAs containing the C (UGAUGA) and D (CUGA) box motifs. Multiple nearly identical copies of this snoRNA have been identified in Arabidopsis, and it is thought to function as a 2'-O-ribose methylation guide for 18S ribosomal RNA. The record is from Rfam by way of RNAcentral. Lineage: Eukaryota; Viridiplantae; Streptophyta; Magnoliopsida; Ranunculales; Ranunculaceae.